This 468-nucleotide ribosomal RNA is filed under the name uncultured bacterium. Its description in RNAcentral is "partial 16S ribosomal RNA". It matches the Rfam family "Bacterial small subunit ribosomal RNA", at positions 28 to 507 of the family's 1533-position model. The record is from RNAcentral.
GACGAACGCUGGCGGCGUGCUUAACACAUGCAAGUCGAACGGAAAGGCCCUGUUUUUGUGGGCUGGUCGAGGGGCGAACGGGUGAGUAACACAUGAGUAACCUGCACUUGACUGUGGGGUAACUUCAGGAAAGAUAGGCUAAUACCAUAUAGGAUCUCCCGCUGCAUGGUGGGGGUUGGAAAGUUUCGGCGGUUGGGGAUGGACUCGCAGCUUAUGAGCUUGCUUCUGAGGUGGUGGCUUACCAGGGCAUUGACGCGUAGCCGGCCUGAGAGGGUGAGCGGCCACAUCGGGACUGAGAUACGGCCCAGCCUCCUACGGCAGGCAGAGGUGGGGUGGAUUACACAGUGGGAGGGGGCGAGAUCCAGCAACGCCGCGUCCGGGAUGACGACCUUCGGGUUGGAAACCGAUGUCGCAUGUGCCGGGGAGUGAGUGACGGUAACGGGUAAAGAAGCCCCGGCUAACUACGUG